AGCCCACCAUCGACGUGCAGACAUUGUCCGGUAAUGAAGCCGGCCAUGUCGGACGCCAACAACGCGACCCCUCCGGCGAUGUCAUCGGGACGGGCAAGGCGGCCAAGAGGCGUCAUGGCAAUGAUUCGUUCACGAACAUCCUCGGUGGUGGCUGCGCUGGAUGCGGUUCCGGCCGUCAAACCUGCGGCAAUGGCAUUAACGGUAAUGCCGAAGCCGCCCAGCUCCUGGGCCAGAGAGCGGGUCAUGCCGACCAAGCCGCCUUUGGCAGUGAUAUACGAAUGGUAGGGCACGAUGGGCGAAUCGACCAGAUUGCUGGAGAUGUUGAUGAUACGCCCGGAGGUCUGGGCUCGCAUCAGCGGCACCACAUGUGAGCACAUCAGAUAUGCACCAUGCAGGCAUCCCUCGAUCUGUGCGCUAAACUCAUCCCAAUCGCCUCCAGCAAAAGUGGAACGGCGACGCGGGUCAAAGGAGAAGCGUCCGAAAGCAUUAUUCACUAAGAUGUCCACGCCGCCGAAUGAGUCGACAGCGGUACCCACUAGCUUGGAAGAUUGCGAUUCAUCGCAAACAUCCGCCUGUACAGCUAUAGCCGAGCCUCCCAGCGAGUGGAUGUCUUCAGCAGUGCGCUGCGCGCUGGCGGCGUCAUGUACGUAAUUGAUGACGACAGCGGCUCCGUGCGAUGCCAGGCAUUUCGCCACAGCCGCUCCUAUGCCCUUGCCGGAACCGGUGAUGAUCGCUGUUCUGCCAUCCAGAUUCACCAUUGGACGCCGUGCCAUAUCGCUUUGCUCUGUCAUUACCCUUGCCUUUCGCCCUGCUACCAGCCUCUGCUGCCCGCAACAGCACAGGCCUAUUCCAUAUCCAUAUCGAACGAAUCGCUGUACGCGUCGCUGCCGCGUUCGACAUCCACCGCGCGCAACAGAUCGAUGAGGUUGAAGCCCCCAUCAUGAUGCCAGCCGGAUUUCGCCCGAUCCAUCUCACCGAGCGGACAGAUGCGAUUCACACCGACCUCGGCCAAUGUAUCUGCAAGACCAAACAGUCUGGUUGAAUCCACAGCGACACCGCAGCUCUGCAGCCAGCCACGGCAGGAAGUCAGUCUUCUGGCAGCGUCCAACAAAUCUGGCACCGCCACCACGUUGACGGUGCGGUUCAACGGCGACAUCAGCGAAGCAACAUCCUCGUCGGCACCGCUACCGUCAAGUUCUCGAUACAGCACCGACCAUGCCGUGCUAUGGCCACUGGCGAACACCGCGGCCUUCCCGCCCAUCAAGGCUCUCAUCUCAGCGUCGGUGCGCGCCCGCUGAAUGGCCACGUUCUCGGCGUCACUCAGACACAGGUGGUCACGUAGAGAAUACCAAGGCGCUUGAGAGAACUCGGGUGAAGGAACUAGGCAAAAUGGUGCCGUAACUUCGGGAGAAGGCACGCUGAUAUGUAGGUGAAGUCCCUUGCGGAUGGAGCUGAAAUCAGUCGAAGAUACCAGCUGGCUGCAACUGUUUAUUAAAAACACAGCACUGUGCAAACACGAAAGUGGACGUAUACGGUGUGACGCCUGCCCGGUGCCGGAAGGUUAAUUGAUGGGGUUAGCGGUAACGCGAAGCUCUUGAUCGAAGCCCCGGUAAACGGCGGCCGUAACUAUAACGGUCCUAAGGUAGCGAAAUUCCUUGUCGGGUAAGUUCCGACCUGCACGAAUGGCGUAAUGAUGGCCAGGCUGUCUCCACCCGAGACUCAGUGAAAUUGAACUCGCUGUGAAGAUGCAGUGUACCCGCGGCAAGACGGAAAGACCCCGUGAACCUUUACUAUAGCUUGACACUGAACAUUGAGCCUUGAUGUGUAGGAUAGGUGGGAGGCUUUGAAGUGUGGACGCCAGUCUGCAUGGAGCCGACCUUGAAAUACCACCCUUUAAUGUUUGAUGUUCUAACGUUGGCCCGUUAUCCGGGUUGCGGACAGUGUCUGGUGGGUAGUUUGACUGGGGCGGUCUCCUCCUAAAGAGUAACGGAGGAGCACGAAGGUUGGCUAAUCCUGGUCGGACAUCAGGAGGUUAGUGCAAUGGCAUAAGCCAGCUUGACUGCGAGCGUGACGGCGCGAGCAGGUGCGAAAGCAGGUCAUAGUGAUCCGGUGGUUCUGAAUGGAAGGGCCAUCGCUCAACGGAUAAAAGGUACUCCGGGGAUAACAGGCUGAUACCGCCCAAGAGUUCAUAUCGACGGCGGUGUUUGGCACCUCGAUGUCGGCUCAUCACAUCCUGGGGCUGAAGUAGGUCCCAAGGGUAUGGCUGUUCGCCAUUUAAAGUGGUACGCGAGCUGGGUUUAGAACGUCGUGAGACAGUUCGGUCCCUAUCUGCCGUGGGCGCUGGAGAACUGAGGGGGGCUGCUCCUAGUACGAGAGGACCGGAGUGGACGCAUCACUGGUGUUCGGGUUGUCAUGCCAAUGGCACUGCCCGGUAGCUAAAUGCGGAAGAGAUAAGUGCUGAAAGCAUCUAAGCACGAAACUUGCCCCGAGAUGAGUUCUCCCUGACUCCCUGAGAGUCCUGAAGGAACGUUGAAGACGACGACGUUGAUAGGCCGGGUGUGUAAGCGCAGCGAUGCGUUGAGCUAACCGGUACUAAUGAACCGUGAGGCUUAACC
RNAcentral lists this ribosomal RNA (2615 nucleotides) under human gut metagenome. RNAcentral describes it as "bacterial LSU rRNA". The stretch from base 1189 to 2615 matches the Rfam family "Bacterial large subunit ribosomal RNA". The record is from RNAcentral.